UGGCAAGAUGUUGGCAUAGCUGUUAAUGUUUAUGGGCCUGCUAUGCCUCCAUAUUGCCAUU
This 61-nucleotide microRNA precursor is filed under the name Danio rerio (zebrafish). RNAcentral describes it as "Dre-Mir-31_pre stem-loop". It matches the Rfam family "mir-31 microRNA precursor family", at positions 12 to 71 of the family's 83-position model. The record is from RNAcentral. Lineage: Eukaryota; Metazoa; Chordata; Actinopteri; Cypriniformes; Danionidae. RNAcentral also lists the same sequence under 1 other name.